This 370-nucleotide ribosomal RNA is filed under the name uncultured cyanobacterium. RNAcentral describes it as "bacterial SSU rRNA". It matches the Rfam family "Bacterial small subunit ribosomal RNA", at positions 376 to 762 of the family's 1533-position model. The record is from RNAcentral. Lineage: Bacteria; Bacillati; Cyanobacteriota.
CGAAAGCCUGACGGAGCAAGACCGCGUGAGGGACGAAGGCUCUUGGGUUGUAAACCUCUUUUCUCAGGGAAGAAUAAUGACGGUACCUGAGGAAUCAGCAUCGGCUAACUCCGUGCCAGCAGCCGCGGUAAGACGGAGGAUGCAAGCGUUAUCCGGAAUUAUUGGGCGUAAAGCGUCCGCAGGUGGCGAUUCAAGUCUGCUGUCAAAGACCGGGGCUUAACCCCAGAAAGGCAGUGGAAACUGAACAGCUAGAGUGCGGUAGGGGCAGAGGGAAUUCCCAGUGUAGCGGUGAAAUGCGUAGAGAUUGGGAAGAACACCGGUGGCGAAAGCGCUCUGCUGGGCCGCAACUGACACUCAGGGACGAAAGCUA